CCUCAACUAGUCACGGUGAGGUUGCUGUAGUUUGACGAGCACAUAAACAUGAGCCCUAAGGAUUCUUGUGGUGCAGAUUGGCUGUAGUAGGUUUGCUGUCGGAUUAGAGUUGCAUCUAGAUGGGAUCUAUCGACCUUGAUAGAUUAGGAGUGAUCCUAUGUGAUUUAUAAGAUUAAGUUCGAAAGAUCUUGGCCAGGGCAGUUCUGGAAAAAGAGUUUUCCA
This 222-nucleotide long non-coding RNA is filed under the name Phoenix dactylifera (date palm). Its description in RNAcentral is "long non-coding RNA (PDAC_LNC014383)". Lineage: Eukaryota; Viridiplantae; Streptophyta; Magnoliopsida; Arecales; Arecaceae. The record is from RNAcentral.